Molecule: ribosomal RNA, 497 nt
Filed under: uncultured bacterium
Lineage: Bacteria
Description: partial 16S ribosomal RNA
Rfam family: Bacterial small subunit ribosomal RNA
Source: RNAcentral
GAUGAACGCUGGCGGCGUGCCUAAUACAUGCAAGUCGAGCGAACGGACGAGAAGCUUGCUUCUCUGAUGUUAGCGGCGGACGGGUGAGUAACACGUGGAUAACCUACCUAUAAGACUGGGAUAACUUCGGGAAACCGGAGCUAAUACCGGAUGAUAUUUUGAACCGCAUGGUUCAAAAGUGAAAGACGGUCUUGCUGUCACUUAUAGAUGGAUCCGCGCUGCAUUAGCUAGUUGGUAAGGUAACGGCUUACCAAGGCAACGAUGCAUAGCCGACCUGAGAGGGGGAUCGGCCCAACUGGAACUGGGACACGGGCCAGACCCCUUAGGGAGGCAAGAGUAGGGAAUCUUCCGCAAUGGGCGAAAGCCUGACGGAGCAACGCCGCGUGAGUGAUGAAGGUCUUCGGAUCGUAAAACUCUGUUAUUAGGGAAGAACAUAUGUGUAAGUAACUGUGCACAUCUUGACGGUACCUAAUCAGAAAGCCACGGCUAACUACGUG